CCUACGGGACGCAGCAGUGGGGAAUAUUGGGCAAUGGGCGCAAGCCUGACCCAGCAAUGCCGCGUGAAGGAAGAAGGCCCUCGGGUUGUAAACUUCUUUUAUCAGGGACGAAGGAUGUGACGGUACCUGAUGAAUAAGCUCCGGCUAACUACGUGCCAGCAGCCGCGGUAAUACGUAGGGGGCAAGCGUUAUCCGGAUUUACUGGGUGUAAAGGGAGCGUAGGCGGUUCAGCAAGUCAGAAGUGAAAGCCCGGGGCUCAACUCCG
This 265-nucleotide ribosomal RNA is filed under the name uncultured bacterium. RNAcentral's name for it is "partial 16S ribosomal RNA". It matches the Rfam family "Bacterial small subunit ribosomal RNA", at positions 338 to 617 of the family's 1533-position model. The record is from RNAcentral.